Long non-coding RNA from Zea mays, 317 nucleotides. RefSeq lists it as uncharacterized. The record is from RefSeq and is a predicted model, not a curated record. The transcript is spliced from 2 exons. NCBI's taxonomy places the organism in Eukaryota, Viridiplantae, Streptophyta, Magnoliopsida, Poales, Poaceae.
AUAUGAUAGAGAUGCUUGCUUCAAUACCAAAGUUUGAGGAUGACCAAGUGGCAGAUAGUGAUGAAGAGGGGCUGUUGGGCACUGAUCUCUGAGGCAAAUGAUUGAUGACCAUUAACCAAAUAGAAAUAGGAGUACGUUGUAGGCAAGUUCGCAAGUGGCAGUACGCAGGACUGCAACAAGAAACUUAUUUAUUGAGUUUAGGACUUAGAUGCUUGUAAUGUUGCAGACCUAUAUUAUCUCUAUCCGGCCACCAAAACAUAUUUACUUGUGGCUGUAAUGUUGCAGACUUGCACCAAUUAAGUUAGAAACUUUAUAAC